RNAcentral lists this ribosomal RNA (460 nucleotides) under uncultured bacterium. RNAcentral describes it as "partial 16S ribosomal RNA". It matches the Rfam family "Bacterial small subunit ribosomal RNA", at positions 338 to 795 of the family's 1533-position model. The record is from RNAcentral.
CCUACGGGAGGCAGCAGUGAGGAAUAUUGGUCAAUGGCCGGAAGGCUGAACCAGCCAUGCCGCGUGAAGGGCAGAGCCCUAAGGGAGUUAAACUUCUUUUGUGCGGGAGCAAUAAUGGGCACGUGUGGCCAGACGAGAGUACCGUACGAAUAAGCAUCGGCGAACUCCGGGCCAGCAGCCGCGGGAAUACGGGGGAUGCAAGCGUUAUCCGGAUUUAUUGGGGUUAAAGGGUGCGUAGGCUGGGAGGUAAGUCAGCGGUGAAAUGCCCCCGGUCAACGGGGUGAAGGGCCAUUGAUACUGCCUUGCUGGAGUGCGGAUGCCGUAGGCGGAAUGUGUGGUGUAGCGGUGAAAUGCAUAGAUAUCACGCAGAACACCGAUUGCGAAGGCAUCUCACGAAUCCGCGAUUGACGCUGAUGCACGAAAGCGUGGGUAUCAAACAGGAUUAGAUACCCUUGUAGUC